AUGAAUUUAAUUUCGAAAAUCUCUACUGUCAAAGGCUCUAAGUGCCAAGUAUGUGUGCAAGCUAAGCAACCACGCAAGUCCCAUAAGACUACAGAGGCAAGAGACUUGGCGCCACUAGAGCUUAUACAUUCUGAUCUUUGUGAGAUGAAUGGCGUGUUGACAAAAGGUGGAAAGAGAUACUUCAUGACGUUGGUUGAUGACUCCACUAGAUAUUAUUAUGUGUAUCUCCUGAAAUCAAAAGAUGAGGCUUUAACUUUCUUCAAAAACUAUAAAGCUGAGGCAGAGAACCAACUUGAUCGAAAAAUUAAACGACUUAGGUCCGAUCGUGGUGUAGAGUAUUUUUCCAAUGAAUUUGAUCUGUUUUGUGCGGAACAUGGUAUAAUCCAUGAGAGGACGCCUCCCUACUCACCUUAG
This 414-nucleotide ribosomal RNA is filed under the name Triticum aestivum (bread wheat). Its description in RNAcentral is "partial small subunit ribosomal RNA". Lineage: Eukaryota; Viridiplantae; Streptophyta; Magnoliopsida; Poales; Poaceae. The record is from RNAcentral.